This 521-nucleotide ribosomal RNA is filed under the name uncultured bacterium. Its description in RNAcentral is "bacterial SSU rRNA". It matches the Rfam family "Bacterial small subunit ribosomal RNA", at positions 777 to 1314 of the family's 1533-position model. The record is from RNAcentral.
AAUAGAUACCCGGGUAGUCCGUGCCGUAAACGAUGUGUACUAGAUGUUCGGUUGGCUACGGCUGGCUGAGCGUCGAAGCAAACGCGAUAAGUACACCGCCUGGGGAGUACGGUCGCAAGGCUAAAACUCAAAGGAAUUGACGGGGCCCCGCACAAGCAGCGGAGCGUGUGGUUUAAUUCGAGGCUACGCGAAGAACCUUACCUGGGUUUGACAUCCGGCGCUAUCCUGUGAAAGCAGGAGUUCCGCAAGGACGCCGAGACAGGUGCUGCAUGGCUGUCGUCAGCUCGUGUCGUGAGAUGUUCGGUUAAGUCCGAAACGAGCGCAACCCCGGGUCCAGUUACAAGUGUCUGGACCGACUGCCUGCGACAAGUGGGAGGAAGGUGGGGAUGACGUCAAGUCAGCAUGGCCUUUACAUCCAGGGCUACACACACGCUACAAUGGCGCGUACAAUGGGAAGCAAGACCGCGAGGUGGAGCGAAUCCUGAAAGCGCGUCGUAGUUCGGAUUGCAGGCUGCAACUCG